UGUUGUCAGUGAUGUCACUAUUCUACCUACAUUGUUUGAAUGUUUAGCAUGAGAACAUUUUUGUAGCUGAGACAACC
This is a small nucleolar RNA of Megalops cyprinoides (Indo-Pacific tarpon), 77 nucleotides long. RefSeq annotates it as small nucleolar RNA SNORD34. NCBI's taxonomy places the organism in Eukaryota, Metazoa, Chordata, Actinopteri, Elopiformes, Megalopidae. The record is from RefSeq and is a predicted model, not a curated record. The transcript has a single exon.